This 237-nucleotide ribosomal RNA is filed under the name Triticum aestivum (bread wheat). Its description in RNAcentral is "partial small subunit ribosomal RNA". The record is from RNAcentral. Lineage: Eukaryota; Viridiplantae; Streptophyta; Magnoliopsida; Poales; Poaceae.
AUGAUUGAAAUAAUGAAACACACAACUUUCCAGUUGGUAUAUCGCCUCAUUGAGUUCACACUCAUUCUUCCUGUAGCCAGUUCAUCAGUUGAGCAAAUAUUUUAGGCAAUGAAGGUCGUCAAGACAGACUUGCACAACAAACUAUUAGAUGAUUGGAUAAAUGAUUUAAUGGUGUGCUAUUGUGAGAAAGAGAUAUUCAGAAGCAUUCAUGGUGACAAAAUCAUGAUACAAUUUUAG